RNAcentral lists this ribosomal RNA (253 nucleotides) under uncultured bacterium. RNAcentral's name for it is "partial 16S ribosomal RNA". It matches the Rfam family "Bacterial small subunit ribosomal RNA", at positions 524 to 776 of the family's 1533-position model. The record is from RNAcentral.
UACGGAGGGGGCUAGCGUUGUUCGGAAUUACUGGGCGUAAAGCGCACGUAGGAGGCUUUGUAAGUUAGAGGUGAAAGCCCGGGGCUCAACUCCGGAAUUGCCUUUAAGACUGCAUCGCUAGAAUUGUGGAGAGGUAAGUGGAAUUCCGAGUGUAGAGGUGAAAUUCGUAGAUAUUCGGAAGAACACCAGUGGCGAAGGCGACUUCCUGGACACAUAUUGACGCUGAGGUGCGAAAGCGUGGGGAGCAAACAGG